This 2902-nucleotide ribosomal RNA is filed under the name Escherichia coli W. RNAcentral's name for it is "bacterial LSU rRNA". It matches the Rfam family "Bacterial large subunit ribosomal RNA". Lineage: Bacteria; Pseudomonadati; Pseudomonadota; Gammaproteobacteria; Enterobacterales; Enterobacteriaceae. The record is from RNAcentral.
UUAAGCGACUAAGCGUACACGGUGGAUGCCCUGGCAGUCAGAGGCGAUGAAGGACGUGCUAAUCUGCGAUAAGCGUCGGUAAGGUGAUAUGAACCGUUAUAACCGGCGAUUUCCGAAUGGGGAAACCCAGUGUGAUUCGUCACACUAUCAUUAACUGAAUCCAUAGGUUAAUGAGGCGAACCGGGGGAACUGAAACAUCUAAGUACCCCGAGGAAAAGAAAUCAACCGAGAUUCCCCCAGUAGCGGCGAGCGAACGGGGAGCAGCCCAGAGCCUGAAUCAGUGUGUGUGUUAGUGGAAGCGUCUGGAAAGGCGCGCGAUACAGGGUGACAGCCCCGUACACAAAAAUGCACAUACUGUGAGCUCGAUGAGUAGGGCGGGACACGUGGUAUCCUGUCUGAAUAUGGGGGGACCAUCCUCCAAGGCUAAAUACUCCUGACUGACCGAUAGUGAACCAGUACCGUGAGGGAAAGGCGAAAAGAACCCCGGCGAGGGGAGUGAAAAAGAACCUGAAACCGUGUACGUACAAGCAGUGGGAGCACGCUUAGGCGUGUGACUGCGUACCUUUUGUAUAAUGGGUCAGCGACUUAUAUUCUGUAGCAAGGUUAACCGAAUAGGGGAGCCGAAGGGAAACCGAGUCUUAACUGGGCGUUAAGUUGCAGGGUAUAGACCCGAAACCCGGUGAUCUAGCCAUGGGCAGGUUGAAGGUUGGGUAACACUAACUGGAGGACCGAACCGACUAAUGUUGAAAAAUUAGCGGAUGACUUGUGGCUGGGGGUGAAAGGCCAAUCAAACCGGGAGAUAGCUGGUUCUCCCCGAAAGCUAUUUAGGUAGCGCCUCGUGAAUUCAUCUCCGGGGGUAGAGCACUGUUUCGGCAAGGGGGUCAUCCCGACUUACCAACCCGAUGCAAACUGCGAAUACCGGAGAAUGUUAUCACGGGAGACACACGGCGGGUGCUAACGUCCGUCGUGAAGAGGGAAACAACCCAGACCGCCAGCUAAGGUCCCAAAGUCAUGGUUAAGUGGGAAACGAUGUGGGAAGGCCCAGACAGCCAGGAUGUUGGCUUAGAAGCAGCCAUCAUUUAAAGAAAGCGUAAUAGCUCACUGGUCGAGUCGGCCUGCGCGGAAGAUGUAACGGGGCUAAACCAUGCACCGAAGCUGCGGCAGCGACGCUGAUGCGUUGUUGGGUAGGGGAGCGUUCUGUAAGCCUGCGAAGGUGUGCUGUGAGGCAUGCUGGAGGUAUCAGAAGUGCGAAUGCUGACAUAAGUAACGAUAAAGCGGGUGAAAAGCCCGCUCGCCGGAAGACCAAGGGUUCCUGUCCAACGUUAAUCGGGGCAGGGUGAGUCGACCCCUAAGGCGAGGCCGAAAGGCGUAGUCGAUGGGAAACAGGUUAAUAUUCCUGUACUUGGUGUUACUGCGAAGGGGGGACGGAGAAGGCUAUGUUGGCCGGGCGACGGUUGUCCCGGUUUAAGCGUGUAGGCUGGUUUUCCAGGCAAAUCCGGAAAAUCAAGGCUGAGGCGUGAUGACGAGGCACUACGGUGCUGAAGCAACAAAUGCCCUGCUUCCAGGAAAAGCCUCUAAGCAUCAGGUAACAUCAAAUCGUACCCCAAACCGACACAGGUGGUCAGGUAGAGAAUACCAAGGCGCUUGAGAGAACUCGGGUGAAGGAACUAGGCAAAAUGGUGCCGUAACUUCGGGAGAAGGCACGCUGAUAUGUAGGUGAAGUCCCUCGCGGAUGGAGCUGAAAUCAGUCGAAGAUACCAGCUGGCUGCAACUGUUUAUUAAAAACACAGCACUGUGCAAACACGAAAGUGGACGUAUACGGUGUGACGCCUGCCCGGUGCCGGAAGGUUAAUUGAUGGGGUCAGCGCAAGCGAAGCUCUUGAUCGAAGCCCCGGUAAACGGCGGCCGUAACUAUAACGGUCCUAAGGUAGCGAAAUUCCUUGUCGGGUAAGUUCCGACCUGCACGAAUGGCGUAAUGAUGGCCAGGCUGUCUCCACCCGAGACUCAGUGAAAUUGAACUCGCUGUGAAGAUGCAGUGUACCCGCGGCAAGACGGAAAGACCCCGUGAACCUUUACUAUAGCUUGACACUGAACAUUGAGCCUUGAUGUGUAGGAUAGGUGGGAGGCUUUGAAGUGUGGACGCCAGUCUGCAUGGAGCCGACCUUGAAAUACCACCCUUUAAUGUUUGAUGUUCUAACGUUGACCCGUAAUCCGGGUUGCGGACAGUGUCUGGUGGGUAGUUUGACUGGGGCGGUCUCCUCCUAAAGAGUAACGGAGGAGCACGAAGGUUGGCUAAUCCUGGUCGGACAUCAGGAGGUUAGUGCAAUGGCAUAAGCCAGCUUGACUGCGAGCGUGACGGCGCGAGCAGGUGCGAAAGCAGGUCAUAGUGAUCCGGUGGUUCUGAAUGGAAGGGCCAUCGCUCAACGGAUAAAAGGUACUCCGGGGAUAACAGGCUGAUACCGCCCAAGAGUUCAUAUCGACGGCGGUGUUUGGCACCUCGAUGUCGGCUCAUCACAUCCUGGGGCUGAAGUAGGUCCCAAGGGUAUGGCUGUUCGCCAUUUAAAGUGGUACGCGAGCUGGGUUUAGAACGUCGUGAGACAGUUCGGUCCCUAUCUGCCGUGGGCGCUGGAGAACUGAGGGGGGCUGCUCCUAGUACGAGAGGACCGGAGUGGACGCAUCACUGGUGUUCGGGUUGUCAUGCCAAUGGCACUGCCCGGUAGCUAAAUGCGGAAGAGAUAAGUGCUGAAAGCAUCUAAGCACGAAACUUGCCCCGAGAUGAGUUCUCCCUGACUCCUUGAGAGUCCUGAAGGAACGUUGAAGACGACGACGUUGAUAGGCCGGGUGUGUAAGCGCAGCGAUGCGUUGAGCUAACCGGUACUAAUGAACCGUGAGGCUUAACCUU